CAGAGACUCCUUUUCACAGGGGCCAGCAGCUCUGCUUUCAGUGUAAGUCUGUACUCCACAGGAGCAGAAACAUUGAGGACAGCGUGUACAGAUAAAGUCUGCAUUUGGCAAAAUCAUUAAGAGCCUGUCUGCUACAGGAUGGAAGCUGCUCUGCAGGAACAAGCUUCCAUGAAAGGAGCAGCUUUCUAUACUACACACUUCUUCCAUAAGUCACUGUGUUACCACAGGCCCAAAGGCAAUGGGGGCAAAAUAACCAUGAACUAAAAUAAAACUU
Molecule: long non-coding RNA, 274 nt
Organism: Myodes glareolus (Bank vole)
Lineage: Eukaryota; Metazoa; Chordata; Mammalia; Rodentia; Cricetidae
Source: RefSeq, a predicted model, not a curated record